RNAcentral lists this ribosomal RNA (465 nucleotides) under Vreelandella stevensii. Its description in RNAcentral is "partial 16S ribosomal RNA". It matches the Rfam family "Bacterial small subunit ribosomal RNA", at positions 338 to 795 of the family's 1533-position model. The record is from RNAcentral. Lineage: Bacteria; Pseudomonadati; Pseudomonadota; Gammaproteobacteria; Oceanospirillales; Halomonadaceae.
CCUACGGGCGGCUGCAGUGGGGAAUAUUGGACAAUGGGGGCAACCCUGAUCCAGCCAUGCCGCGUGUGUGAAGCAGGCCCUCGGGUUGUAAAGCACUUUCAGUGAGGAAGAACGCCUGGUGGUUAAUACCCAUCAGGAAAGACAUCACUCACAGAAGAAGCACCGGCUAACUCCGUGCCAGCAGCCGCGGUAAUACGGAGGGUGCGAGCGUUAAUCGGAAUUACUGGGCGUAAAGCGCGCGUAGGUGGCUUGAUAAGCCGGUUGUGAAAGCCCCGGGCUCAACCUGGGAACGGCAUCCGGAACUGUCAAGCUAGAGUGCAGGAGAGGAAGGUAGAAUUCCCGGUGUAGCGGUGAAAUGCGUAGAGAUCGGGAGGAAUACCAGUGGCGAAGGCGGCCUUCUGGACUGACACUGACACUGAGGUGCGAAAGCGUGGGUAGCAAACAGGAUUAGAUACCCCAGUAGUC